Molecule: non-coding RNA, 72 nt
Organism: Leptidea sinapis
Lineage: Eukaryota; Metazoa; Arthropoda; Insecta; Lepidoptera; Pieridae
Source: the annotation of a RefSeq genome assembly
GAACGGUUGGCUCAUUUGGUAAGAGCGCUCGCAUUCCGCGAGAGGUCGCGGGUUCGAAUCCCGCAUCGUUCA